CAGUAGCCACGGGAAUACGGAGGGGGCUAGCGUUGUUCGGAAUUACUGGGCGUAAAGCGCACGUAGGCGGCUUGGUAAGUUAGAGGUGAAAGCCUGGAGCUCAACUCCAAAAUUGCCUUUAAGACUGCCGAGCUAGCAGGUGAGAGAGGUAAGUGGAAUUCCGAGUGUAGAGGUGAAAUUCGUAGAUAUUCGGAAGAACACCAGUGGCGAAGGCGGCUUACUGGCUCAUACUGGACGCUGAGGUGCGAAAGCGUGGGGAGCAAACAGGAUUAGAUACCCCUGUAGUCCCUGUCUCUUAUAC
RNAcentral lists this ribosomal RNA (301 nucleotides) under uncultured bacterium. RNAcentral's name for it is "partial 16S ribosomal RNA". It matches the Rfam family "Bacterial small subunit ribosomal RNA", at positions 509 to 807 of the family's 1533-position model. The record is from RNAcentral.